UUGGCUCCUGUUAUGCUGUGCUGUGCAAGUGCUGAGCGCGAUUUGCUAAGACGACAGCUGCAUGAAAUCUCGGAAUCGCCUAGCAUGAUCUUCGAAAAUACAUGAUCGUCUCAUCUGUACAGAGGAAACACUGUAAGUUGUACACCAGAUAGAAAGUGGGCGUCAACGUUGUCUUUGAAGGACGGGGAUGCAAGAUGCUUUAAAAAAUUUGGAGAGGCAUUGAAAAGCAGGUGAGGGCAGUCAAGAAUGAAUCAAAAUAUUGUGAGUUGAGAUCAAGUAGUGCCUCACUUUAAGGCAGCGAACAGUCGUCGAUAUUCUUGAGUGUUUCUUCUGGAUUGGGGGACUGGCUUGCUGACAAUUCCUCCAGAGGCUGAUGGGAAAUAUCUUUCUGGAAUCAUAGGAUCCCUUCUCCACCAGCAUGCAGUCGGCGGAGCUUGACUGGGGGCCAGAGGAUGACUGGGACGCUGGCUUUGACUGGGAUGCUGUUGAACAGGAGGCAUCGAAACGGCUGAAAGUAACACCAGGAUACAGACUGCAGGCGGAGGGUUCUCACAAACAAG
RNAcentral lists this long non-coding RNA (560 nucleotides) under Coccomyxa subellipsoidea. RNAcentral describes it as "long non-coding RNA (CSUB_LNC000443)". Lineage: Eukaryota; Viridiplantae; Chlorophyta; Trebouxiophyceae; Coccomyxaceae. The record is from RNAcentral.